CCUACGGGCGGCAGCAGUGGGGAAUAUUGCACAAUGGGGGAAACACUGAUGCAGCGACGCCGCGUGAGCGAUGAAGUAUUUCGGUAUGUAAAGCUCUAUCAGCAGGGAAGAAAAUGAUGGUACCUGACUAAGAAGCCCCGGCUAACUACGGGCCAGCAGCCGCUGUAAUACGGAGGGGGCAAGCGUUAUCCGGAUUUACUGGGUGGAAAGGGAGCGUAGACGGCUGUGCAAGUCAGAUGGGAAAGCCCGGGGUUCAACCCCGGGACUGCAUUUGGAACUGGGUGGCUUGAGUGUCGGAGAGGCAGGCGGAAUUCCUAGUGUAGCGGUGAAAUGCGUAGAUAUUAGGAGGAACACCAGUGGCGAAGGCGGCCUGCUGGACGAUGACUGACGUUGAGGCUCGAAAGCGUGGGGAGCAAACAGGAUUAGAUACCCCAGUAGUC
This 440-nucleotide ribosomal RNA is filed under the name uncultured bacterium. RNAcentral describes it as "partial 16S ribosomal RNA". It matches the Rfam family "Bacterial small subunit ribosomal RNA", at positions 338 to 795 of the family's 1533-position model. The record is from RNAcentral.